CCUACGGGCGGCAGCAGUGAGGAAUAUUGGUCAAUGGCCGGAAGGCUGAACCAGCCAAGCCGCGUGAGGGAGGAAGGCGCAGAGCGUCGCAGACCUCUUUUGCCGGGGGACAAAAGGCCGGACUCGUCCGGUCCUGAGGGUACCCGGAGAAAAAGCAUCGGCUAACUCCGUGCCAGCAGCCGCGGUAAUACGGAGGAUGCGAGCGUUAUCCGGAUUUAUUGGGUUUAAAGGGUGCGCAGGCGGGCCGUUAAGCCGGCGGGGAAAUCCCGGGGCUCAACCCCGCCCAGCCGUCGGAACCGGGGGCCGUGAGUGCGGCGGAGGCAUGCGGAAUGCGCGGUGUAGCGGGGAAAUGCAUCGGUAUCGCGCAGAACCCCGAUUGCGAAGGCAGGGUGCCGUGCGGCCACUGACGCUGGGGCACGAAAGCGCGGGGAUCGAACAGGAUUAGAUACCCCAGUAGUC
Molecule: ribosomal RNA, 459 nt
Filed under: uncultured bacterium
Lineage: Bacteria
Description: partial 16S ribosomal RNA
Rfam family: Bacterial small subunit ribosomal RNA
Source: RNAcentral